RNAcentral lists this ribosomal RNA (383 nucleotides) under uncultured bacterium. Its description in RNAcentral is "bacterial SSU rRNA". It matches the Rfam family "Bacterial small subunit ribosomal RNA", at positions 30 to 414 of the family's 1533-position model. The record is from RNAcentral.
AUUGAACGCUAGCGGCAUGCCUUACACAUGCAAGUCGAACGGCAGCACGGGAGCAAUCCUGGUGGCGAGUGGCGAACGGGUGAGUAAUAUAUCGGAACGUGCCCAGUCGUGGGGAUAACGUAGCGAAAGCUACGCUAAUACCGCAUACGAUCUAUGGAUGAAAGCGGGGGAUCGCAAGACCUCGCGCGAUUGGAGCGGCCGAUAUCAGAUUAGGUAGUUGGUGAGGUAAAGGCUCACCAAGCCGACGAUCUGUAGCUGGUCUGAGAGGACGACCAGCCGCACUGGGACUGAGACACGGCCCAGACUCCUACGGGAGGCAGCAGUGGGGAAUUUUGGACAAUGGGCGCAAGCCUGAUCCAGCAAUGCCGCGUGCAGGAUGAAGG